CAGCCGCCGCGGUAAUACGUAGGUGGCAAGCGUUGUCCGGAAUUAUUGGGCGUAAAGGGCUCGCAGGCGGUUUCUUAAGUCUGAUGUGAAAGCCCCCGGCUCAACCGGGGAGGGUCAUUGGAAACUGGGAAACUUGAGUGCAGAAGAGGAGAGUGGAAUUCCACGUGUAGCGGUGAAAUGCGUUGAGAUUGGAAAGAACACCAACGGCGAAAGCACUUUGCUGAGCCGACACUGACAUUGAGAGACGAAAUCUAGGGGAGCAAAUGGGACUAGAUACCCGCGUAGUCCCUGUCUCUUAUAC
This 301-nucleotide ribosomal RNA is filed under the name uncultured bacterium. Its description in RNAcentral is "partial 16S ribosomal RNA". It matches the Rfam family "Bacterial small subunit ribosomal RNA", at positions 509 to 807 of the family's 1533-position model. The record is from RNAcentral.